CUAAAGCAAGUUUACCUAAUCCAGUUUUCUAUUCCAGUUUUGAAAUAAUGAAUAUGUUUCGGGGCUUUAAUGAAAAUAAUGAUCCAUUUCAGAUAGCAUUAUUAUGAGAGUUAAUUGAAGAUAAUCCCAUAUAAUUAAAGCAUCACAGUAUUUUCAACAAAGUAAGCAUUUAAUAAAGGUUAAGUGUGCAGAGUGGAAGCAGAAAUCAUCCUCUCUGUAAUUAUAUGAGGAUUAAUUAACUAUUUAUGUGAGACUGAAGGGGAACCACCAAGGAAUAGUGAGCUUAUUUGUGUGAUGUAUCUGGAACACAUUAUUUAAUCCAUACAUUUGCUGAGCGUUUGUUGCUCCCUUCCUCUAUGCUUCCAUUCCAUGCCAUGAAUCUUUUAUAGCUUUUACCACACAACAGGCAAUCAACAGUAUUUUUGGACUAUUGCCAGCCAACUGUGAGCUUCUUGAAGGCAAAGGAUAUUUUAUUUGUUUCUUUGUCUCUAUUACUUCUCCUGAGUCAAAUAUGUUACUUACUAUGCUUUUAAUGUUUAUAACUCUCUUAUUUAUGUAAUGUCUCAAGUCAACUUCAUGAAAUUUACUGUCACUUACUGUUUGUUUUGAAUAAUCCAAAC
This 620-nucleotide long non-coding RNA is filed under the name Marmota monax (woodchuck). Lineage: Eukaryota; Metazoa; Chordata; Mammalia; Rodentia; Sciuridae. The record is from RNAcentral.